RNAcentral lists this ribosomal RNA (464 nucleotides) under Salmonella enterica subsp. enterica serovar Infantis. RNAcentral's name for it is "bacterial SSU rRNA". It matches the Rfam family "Bacterial small subunit ribosomal RNA", at positions 1 to 463 of the family's 1533-position model. RNAcentral also lists the same sequence under 1 other name. Lineage: Bacteria; Pseudomonadati; Pseudomonadota; Gammaproteobacteria; Enterobacterales; Enterobacteriaceae. The record is from RNAcentral.
AAAUUGAAGAGUUUGAUCAUGGCUCAGAUUGAACGCUGGCGGCAGGCCUAACACAUGCAAGUCGAACGGUAGCACAGAGAGCUUGCUCUCGGGUGACGAGUGGCGGACGGGUGAGUAAUGUCUGGGAAACUGCCUGAUGGAGGGGGAUAACUACUGGAAACGGUGGCUAAUACCGCAUAACGUCGCAAGACCAAAGAGGGGGACCUUCGGGCCUCUUGCCAUCAGAUGUGCCCAGAUGGGAUUAGCUAGUUGGUGAGGUAACGGCUCACCAAGGCGACGAUCCCUAGCUGGUCUGAGAGGAUGACCAGCCACACUGGAACUGAGACACGGUCCAGACUCCUACGGGAGGCAGCAGUGGGGAAUAUUGCACAAUGGGCGCAAGCCUGAUGCAGCCAUGCCGCGUGUAUGAAGAAGGCCUUCGGGUUGUAAAGUACUUUCAGCGGGGAGGAAGGGAGUAAGGUUAA